Molecule: ribosomal RNA, 292 nt
Filed under: uncultured Delftia sp.
Lineage: Bacteria; Pseudomonadati; Pseudomonadota; Betaproteobacteria; Burkholderiales; Comamonadaceae
Description: partial 16S ribosomal RNA
Rfam family: Bacterial small subunit ribosomal RNA
Source: RNAcentral
GUGUCAGCCGCCGCGGUAAUACGUAGGGUGCGAGCGUUAAUCGGAAUUACUGGGCGUAAAGCGUGCGCAGGCGGUUAUGUAAGACAGAUGUGAAAUCCCCGGGCUCAACCUGGGAACUGCAUUUGUGACUGCAUGGCUAGAGUACGGUAGAGGGGGAUGGAAUUCCGCGUGUAGCAGUGAAAUGCGUAGAUAUGCGGAGGAACACCGAUGGCGAAGGCAAUCCCCUGGGAUAACACUGACGCUCAUGCACGAAAGCGUGGGGAGCAAACAGGAUUAGAAACCCUCGUAGUCC